UACGAAGGGAGCUAGCGUUGUUCGGAAUUACUGGGCGUAAAGGGCGCGUAGGCGGUCUUAUAAGUUUGGUGUGAAAGCCCUGGGCUUAACCUAGGAAUAGCAUUGGAUACUGUAAGACUUGAGACCGAGAGAGGGAAAUGGAAUUGCGAGUGUAGAGGUGAAAUUCGUAGAUAUUCGCAAGAACACCAGUGGCGAAGGCGAUUUCCUGGCUCGGUACUGACGCUAAGGCGCGAAAGCGUGGGGAGCAAAC
This 250-nucleotide ribosomal RNA is filed under the name uncultured bacterium. RNAcentral's name for it is "partial 16S ribosomal RNA". It matches the Rfam family "Bacterial small subunit ribosomal RNA", at positions 524 to 773 of the family's 1533-position model. The record is from RNAcentral.